CUCGUAGGUGGCCAACUAAGUCAGACGUGAAAUCCCUCGGCUUAACCGGGGAACUGCGUCUGAUACUGGAUGGCUUGAGUUUGGGAGAGGGACGCGGAAUUCCAGGUGUAGCGGUGAAAUGCGUAGAUAUCUGGAGGAACACCGGUGGCGAAGGCGGCGUCCUGGACCAACACUGACACUGAGGAGCGAAAGCCAGGGGAGCAAACGG
RNAcentral lists this ribosomal RNA (208 nucleotides) under uncultured bacterium. Its description in RNAcentral is "partial 16S ribosomal RNA". It matches the Rfam family "Bacterial small subunit ribosomal RNA", at positions 568 to 775 of the family's 1533-position model. The record is from RNAcentral.